Molecule: long non-coding RNA, 508 nt
Organism: Platichthys flesus (European flounder)
Lineage: Eukaryota; Metazoa; Chordata; Actinopteri; Pleuronectiformes; Pleuronectidae
Exons: 3
Source: RefSeq, a predicted model, not a curated record
GAAGUAUUUUGGAGCACAACCAACUGUACCUGCCCCCGAUGUGUCAUCAAGUGUCAGUGCCUCCACAGCUGAUGAUACAGCAGGUUCACCCCCAGCAGACUUACAGUCACCUGAAAGUGAGGAAGAACUUUUACCCAUUGAGGAACAGUUACCAGCAUUGACAGUCACUGAUACACCGACUUCAACCUCUGCCGGCAUAACAGGUCCUUCUACAGCAUCCACUGCUAUGGAUGUCCCAUCCACUCCCUCAACAAGCACCAGCUAUCAAGGUGGAUCAACAGCUCCUCCAAUUGACCCAGCUGAAUGGUCAGCAUUCCUGUCUGACUCAGAAAGGACUGAUCUGGUAAGAAGAGGGCCAGUGCAAAUUAGUGACACCUUCACCUUCCCCAAAAAAUCUAAUGGUCGAAGCUUUCAUUACCAUUAUACGUGUAGACAAUUAGUUAAUGGGGUUUAAAAGGUUAAUUGAAUACUGAGUCACUUUCAUUAUUUAAUCUAUGUAUCUAUGUAA